This 345-nucleotide long non-coding RNA is filed under the name Vulpes vulpes (red fox). RNAcentral's name for it is "lncRNA (ENSVVUG00000025492.1)". The record is from RNAcentral. Lineage: Eukaryota; Metazoa; Chordata; Mammalia; Carnivora; Canidae.
AUGGAGCCUGCCCCAACUGUGAAGCUCCAAUCCAUCCCAGAAGAACUUACCCAACCUUGCCUUGAAACUCAAACUCCUGGAAUCCCAGGAGGUCAUACCCUCUGUGACAUCUGUAUGAUUCUCUACUAUUCAUUGGAUUGCCCAACUCUAACUUUUGCCCAUUGUUCUGAUCCGGAGGCAAGCUCGCUGAUCUCUCUGUCUCCACAACUAGGUGCUUCUGGAAACAACAUCCAUCCCACUUUCACGAUAUUUUGACUACAAUUGAUUAUUGGCACCAUUAUCAAUAUAAACGGUGACCGAAGGAGUCUAUCAGAUGCACCUAAUAAAGUUAAAUGCACUAAAACA